Diospyros lotus (date-plum) is the source of this 1558-nucleotide long non-coding RNA. RefSeq lists it as uncharacterized. The record is from RefSeq and is a predicted model, not a curated record. The transcript is spliced from 2 exons. Lineage: Eukaryota; Viridiplantae; Streptophyta; Magnoliopsida; Ericales; Ebenaceae.
UUCCAGUUUCCAUAUUCUAUCUCGUUGGAGGGAGAUUUUAGGGUUAGUCUUCUCCUGCACAGUGAAAGUAAUUUACACCGAUGCAUCCAUGCAUCUAUGAACGGGAAUAUAGAAAGGCUUUUUGGGUAGUGGGUGGCACUGGCAUGUGAUCUUGAAAGACGAAAGAAUCUUUGUAAAUCUCACCAUGACGCUUCCCCAAAACUUUUCAGCAAGGAAACAGUUGUUGCCGUCCCCUCAAUCACACCCACCCAUCCUCACCCACCAUUAAUAUUUUCUUUCCUUUCAUUGGACCUAUAAAUUUUCUUCUUUCCUUAUCGUUAACCUAGACCUAAACGUCGCUUUUGCUUUUGCGCUCCCAGGCCGCCGUUACAGCUGGUUCAUGGGUUUUCUUUUCAAGGGUUUGUCUUUUGGUUAAAGAUGGGAAGGCUUCAUGGGUUUCUGUUUUUUAACUUAUUAAAGUUGACCCAUCUACGGGGAUUCUUGAAUUUACGCUCGUUUUGUGCGGUGAAGUCCAAAAUGGCGCCCGGAUCUAGCAUAUUUAUGGAAGUGGUUUUAGGGUUUCUUUGCAGUGGGUUGCUAGGGUUAUGGGUCGUCGCUGUCUUCGGUAGUCCUCAAAGGAAUCGGGUUUGUCUGGGGUUUACCCCAUCGAACGUUGUUUUCUUCGAUUUACCUAAGUGUUGUGUCUUCCAAGUCCAGAAGGGCCUCCAGAUCUAGUGACGUUGGUGCACAAUCUUGCAUCAUUACGUGGCGUCGUCUGUGGUGAGUUUGUCUUCCACCCGGAAUGCAGAGCGCCCUUUGGAGUGUUAAAAGGGUUUGAAUUCCACAGUCGCCUGAAAGAGGUCUCUUUUUGAGGACCCUGGUGGGGUGAGUGUAUUUUGUACGUGUGCGAUGUAGUCAAAAUAUUUAAAUUAGGGUUCCGGGGAGUCGAUUUCCUGAAUUCUGUCGGUCGUACUGCGCCAUUAGGGUUACGUAAGGUCUGGAAGAAGGAAUACGGUCAUGGCGUAUGGGAGAUCAGGUUAGGAGCCGUACAAGACACUUUGGGUGAGGGUGAAGCUCUACCCCACAAUCGACGGGCUGAGCCUGUGCUUCGAACUAUCCGUCGGCCUUACUGUGCAUUUUAGGCUUGGAAAAAAGAAGGGUGAAAUUUGUGGCCCGCGAGGAGACAGGUGAAGACAACCACCUGUCUCGUGACAAGCGAUACCGGAGAUGUGUGCGCCUGCAGGACUUUAAAGUGUAGAAGAUUGCGAUGGGGACGACAUAUUGAGUUGGAGGCAUCGAGAUUCCCAGAGCUCUUACAAGAUGGAGUAGGCAGGGGGGCAUUGCGGAAUUAGGUAGAGCAAGUUUGUCAUUGGUGUGACUUUCCAGUGCUAAGGGCAGGCUGUUUGCCAUGAGCAUUUAUCAAGUCCUAGAGGGUUUAUCGAUAUAUAUAGUCAUGUAUCCAGUUAUGUGUCUAUUCAAGUGGCUUGUUUUGUAUGAGUUAUGUGCUUCACGCGUCAGGGAGAAGGCUGACCCUGAUUGGCCAGCUUUGUGAUAAGUGAUAUAAAAGUUAGUUUCUCAA